RNAcentral lists this ribosomal RNA (158 nucleotides) under Colletotrichum gloeosporioides. RNAcentral's name for it is "5.8S ribosomal RNA". It matches the Rfam family "5.8S ribosomal RNA". From Rfam's summary of the family: 5.8S ribosomal RNA (5.8S rRNA) is a component of the large subunit of the eukaryotic ribosome. It is transcribed by RNA polymerase I as part of the 45S precursor that also contains 18S and 28S rRNA. Lineage: Eukaryota; Fungi; Ascomycota; Sordariomycetes; Glomerellales; Glomerellaceae. The record is from RNAcentral.
AAAACUUUUAACAACGGAUCUCUUGGUUCUGGCAUCGAUGAAGAACGCAGCGAAAUGCGAUAAGUAAUGUGAAUUGCAGAAUCCAGUGAAUCAUCGAAUCUUUGAACGCACAUUGCGCCCGCCAGCAUUCUGGCGGGCAUGCCUGUUCGAGCGUCAUU